Molecule: ribosomal RNA, 497 nt
Filed under: uncultured bacterium
Lineage: Bacteria
Description: partial 16S ribosomal RNA
Rfam family: Bacterial small subunit ribosomal RNA
Source: RNAcentral
GGUGAACGCUGGCGGCGUGCCUAAUACAUGCAAGUCGAACGAACGGACGAGAAGAUCGCGCCUCUGAGGUUAGCGACGGGCGGGUGAGUGAGACGUGGAUAAGCAACCUCUAAGACUGGGGGAACUUCGGGAAACAAGUGACACUAACAGAUAAUAUAAUCAACCGCAGGAUUCAAUAGUGCAUGACGGCUUUGCUGUCACUUAUAGAUGGAUCCGCGCCGCAUUAGCUAGUUGGUAAGGUAACGGCUCACCAAGGCGACGAUGCGUAGCCGACCUGAGAGGAUGAUCAGCCACACUGGAACUGAGACACGGUCCAGACUCCUACGGGAGGCAGCAGUGGGGAAUCUUCCGCAAUGGGCGAAAGCCUGACGCAGCAAUGCCGCGUGAGUGAUGAAGGUCUUCGGAUCGUAAAGCUCUGUUAUUAGGGAAGAACAACUGUGUAAGAAACUAUGCACGUCUUGACGGUACCUAAUCAGAAAGCCACGGCUAACUUCGUG